Molecule: ribosomal RNA, 1446 nt
Filed under: uncultured bacterium
Lineage: Bacteria
Description: partial 16S ribosomal RNA
Rfam family: Bacterial small subunit ribosomal RNA
Source: RNAcentral
AGGGUUUGAUCAUGGCUCAGAACGUACGCUGGCGGCACGCCUAACACAUGCAAGUCGAACGAAGUAGCAAUACUGAGUGGCAAACGGGUGAGUAUAAUGUGGGAAUCUGCCUUUUGGUUUGGAAUAACACGGGGAAACUUGUGCUAAUACCGAAUAAGCCCUUACGGGGAAAGUUUUAAUGCCGAAAGAUGAGCCCGCACUUGAUUAGCUAGUUGGUAAGGUAAAAGCUUACCAAGGCAACGAUCAAUAGCUGUUCUUAGAGGAAGACCAGCCACAUUGGGACUGAGACACGGCCCAGACUCCUACGGGAGGCAGCAGUGGGGAAUCUUGCACAAUGGGGGAAACCCUGAUGCAGCGAUGCCGCGUGAGUGAAGAAGGCCUUUGGGUUGUAAAACUCUUUCGUCGGGGAAGAAAAUGACUGUACCCGAAUAAGAAGGUCCGGCUAACUUCGUGCCAGCAGCCGCGGUAAUACGAAGGGACCUAGCGUAGUUCGGAAUUACUGGGCUUAAAGAGCUCGUAGGUGGUUAAAAAAGUUGAUGGUGAAAUCCCAAGGCUUAACCUUGGAACUGCCAUCAAAACUUUUUAGCUAGAGUGUGAUAGAGGUAAGUGGAAUUUCUAGUGUAGAGGUGAAAUUCGUAGAUAUUAGAAAGAACAUCAAAUGCGAAGGCAACUUACUGGGUCACUACUGACACUGAGGAGCGAAAGCAUGGGUAGCGAAGAGGAUUAGAUACCCUCGUAGUCCAUGCCGUAAACGAUGUGUGCUAGACGUUGGAAAUAUAUUUUUCAGUGUCGCAGCGAAAGCAUUAAGCACACCGCCUGGGGAGUACGACCGCAAGGUUAAAACUCAAAUGAAUUGACGGGGACCCGCACAAGCAGUGGAGCAUGUGGUUUAAUUCGAUGCAACGCGAAAAACCUUACCUACACUUGACAUACUUGGUAUCUUCUGUAAUCGAAGAGUGCCUUUUGGAACCAAGAUACAGGUGCUGCAUGGCUGUCGUCAGCUCGUGUCGUGAGAUGUUGGGUUAAGUCCCAUAACGAGCGCAACCCUUACCCUUAUUUGCCAGCGACUCGGUCGGGAACUAUAAGGGGACUGCCGGUGAUAAACCGGAGGAAGGUGAGGACGACGUCAAGUCAUCAUGGCCCUUACGUGUAGGGCUACACACGUGCUACAAUGGGGAGUACAGAUGGACGCUAAAGCGCGAGCUGGUGCUAAUCCCAAAAAACUCCUCGUAGUCCGGAUUGCAGUCUGCAACUCGACUGCAUGAAGUCGGAAUCGCUAGUAAUCGCGAAUCAGCAUGUCGCGGUGAAUACGUUCUCGGGUCUUGUACACACCGCCCGUCACACCAUGGGAGUGUAUUGCACCAGAAGUGGGUAGUCUAACCUUUCGGAGGACGCUCACCACGGUGUGAUCCAUGACUGGGGUGAAGUCAUAACAAGGUAACCGUA